GACAGAGGGGGCAAGCGUUGCUCGGAAUCACUGGGCGUAAAGGGUGCGUAGGCGGCGCGGUAAGUCGGGUGUGAAAUCUUGGAGCUUAACUCCGAAACUGCAUUCGAUACUGCCGUGCUUGAGGACUGGAGAGGAGACUGGAAUUUACGGUGUAGCGGUGAAAUGCGCAGAUAUCGGGAAGAACACCCGUGGCGAAGGCGGCUCUCUGGGACGGUACUGACGCUGAGACGCGAAAGCGUGGGGAGCGAACAGG
RNAcentral lists this ribosomal RNA (253 nucleotides) under uncultured bacterium. RNAcentral's name for it is "partial 16S ribosomal RNA". It matches the Rfam family "Bacterial small subunit ribosomal RNA", at positions 524 to 776 of the family's 1533-position model. The record is from RNAcentral.